AUGAAAGCGGCGGUUAGGACGAAGAACUUCGUCUCCUCCAAAUUCCUCCAGCGAGCUUGUGGAUUCAUCUCCCCUUUUCAUGCUUCUCUGGUUGCCGGGGGCGGGAAGGAGAAUCUCGGUGCCUCGACUCAGGCUGGUAGUUUAGCUAUGAAGGAGAGGAGCGGGGACAAAGAAGGAAAGGCACCUAACCCACGACGAUCAUCGGCAACCUGCGACAGUGAGGUUGGAGUGGGCGCUCUGUUGGACUUAAAGAAAAGUUGCAUCAAUGACCUUCGACAACAUUGGCGGUGGUUAUGGGCGGUGGAUCUGCAGACUACAAUAGAGGGGAGCCACCUCCACUUCUCGUUAAAAGAUUCUGUGUGCCUUGCUCCACCUCUGACGCGCAACAACACACAAUACCUCCCCGGCGACCCAUCUGAUGACCGCCAUGACCACACCCGUGCACCCCCGCCGAACUUCGGGAAUAUUUCGAUGAGAUUCCAGAGAAAAAAAAGAGAAACGGAUCGUCCCCAUUCACCACCACCCCGAGUCCUCCCCAUUUUGCUCCCUCGUCUGCCGCUGCCACCACUCACCGGCGCUCUCCCCCACAGCCGCCGCCGCCACCGCCACCAGUGCCCUCCCCCACAGCCUGCACCCCAGCCCUUCUCUCCUCCGCUCACCUUAUCCCCACCACCGGUGAGCUCCUCCUCCCCCCCUCCCCGCUCGCCCCAGAUCGAGCAGCAGGUUAGGGUUCACGGCCACGGCGGCGCGAGCGCUCCGAUGCAGCAUAUAACAUAUACCUCUGUUACUGUUAGUGGAGCAGCCCCAACCCUAGCCCUUCUUCGGCCAUGGCGACCUAGCAAGCAGGAGGUUGCCAACACAAUUGGCAAGAGCUACAAUCUGAUGAAAUUUCUCCCUGAACAAAGCUUGAGGAACCUGAAGUCUGCAGUCCUUCAGUCACAAGGCGUCCGAUGCUUGGUUCUAGAUGAUUGCAAGAGGUUGCUUGCUCUUAUUUUCUUAUAUGCAUUUGUUGUGGCAAUCAGAAAAGUCCGCGGCACUUUCAUGUUGAUCGCUUCGUCUUUGAUCUGUGCCGUCGGGCAUGAUGCACCCUCCCUCAGAGUUCACGCCGGACACGAUGCUCCAUCUACAUCCACUGGCUUUUAA
Molecule: ribosomal RNA, 1143 nt
Filed under: Triticum aestivum (bread wheat)
Lineage: Eukaryota; Viridiplantae; Streptophyta; Magnoliopsida; Poales; Poaceae
Description: partial small subunit ribosomal RNA
Source: RNAcentral